CUUACUAACACGCAUGUUCAAUGCAUUGCUGGAGCACUUCGUGCGUCAUUGGAAAUAUGGAGUCCCCAGUUUGAACUAUUCCAUAUCUAUUUUCCGUGUUUAUGCCAAGUUAUGGACAACGGAGGAAUAGGCUACUUUAGUUUGACAGUUGGCAUAACUUUUCAAAAUAGUUAUGUAUUAUGGAGCAAACAUCUGAAAAGAGACCGACUAGAAGAAAAAAGCCAGCAACUACAAUCAGGAAAGAAUGCAGUGAAGAGAGUGAAAGAGUGAACUGUUUUGAUGGCAUUGUAAUAUACAAGAGUGAUGUCGAAACAUUAAAUGGAAGCAAGUGGUUGUGUGAUACCAUAAUUGACUUUUUUUAAGGUAUUAAUGCAAAACGGCAGAAAGAAAAGACGAUGGGGAACAAUAUUAUGUCUUUUCUAGUUUUUUCCAACAGAAACUACUCAUGAAAGGACACGUAUCAAAGCGACCAUUAGAUCUUUCGGGAUGCAACUUACAUGGAGUGAGGAGAUACACACCUAAGAACAUGUAUCAAUAUAAAAUGAUUUUUAUACCAG
Molecule: long non-coding RNA, 557 nt
Organism: Xenia sp. Carnegie-2017
Lineage: Eukaryota; Metazoa; Cnidaria; Anthozoa; Malacalcyonacea; Xeniidae
Exons: 5
Source: RefSeq, a predicted model, not a curated record